GAGUAAUGUCUGGGAAACUGCCUGAUGGAGGGGGAUAACUACUGGAAACGGUAGCUAAUACCGCAUAACGUCGCAAGACCAAAGAGGGGGACCUUCGGGCCUCUUGCCAUCGGAUGUGCCCAGAUGGGAUUAGCUUGUUGGUGGGGUAACGGCUCACCAAGGCGACGAUCCCUAGCUGGUCUGAGAGGAUGACCAGCCACACUGGAACUGAGACACGGUCCAGACUCCUACGGGAGGCAGCAGUGGGGAAUAUUGCACAAUGGGCGCAAGCCUGAUGCAGCCAUGCCGCGUGUAUGAAGAAGGCCUUCGGGUUGUAAAGUACUUUCAGCGGGGAGGAAGGGAGUAAAGUUAAUACCUUUGCUCAUUGACGUUACCCGCAGAAGAAGCACCGGCUAACUCCGUGCCAGCAGCCGCGGUAAUACGGAGGGUGCAAGCGUUAAUCGGAAUUACUGGGCGUAAAGCGCACGCAGGCGGUUUGUUAAGUCAGAUGUGAAAUCCCCGGGCUCAACCUGGGAACUGCAUCUGAUACUGGCAAGCUUGAGUCUCGUAGAGGGGGGUAGAAUUCCAGGUGUAGCGGUGAAAUGCGUAGAGAUCUGGAGGAAUACCGGUGGCGAAGGCGGCCCCCUGGACGAAGACUGACGCUCAGGUGCGAAAGCGUGGGGAGCAAACAGGAUUAGAUACCCUGGUAGUCCACGCCGUAAACGAUGUCGACUUGGAGGUUGUGCCCUUGAGGCGUGGCUUCCGGAGCUAACGCGUUAAGUCGACCGCCUGGGGAGUACGGCCGCAAGGUUAAAACUCAAAUGAAUUGACGGGGGCCCGCACAAGCGGUGGAGCAUGUGGUUUAAUUCGAUGCAACGCGAAGAACCUUACCUGGUCUUGACAUCCACGGAAGUUUUCAGAGAUGAGAAUGUGCCUUCGGGAACCGUGAGACAGGUGCUGCAUGGCUGUCGUCAGCUCGUGUUGUGAAAUGUUGGGUUAAGUCCCGCAACGAGCGCAACCCUUAUCCUUUGUUGCCAGCGGUCCGGCCGGGAACUCAAAGGAGACUGCCAGUGAUAAACUGGAGGAAGGUGGGGAUGACGUCAAGUCAUCAUGGCCCUUACGACCAGGGCUACACACGUGCUACAAUGGCGCAUACAAAGAGAAGCGACCUCGCGAGAGCAAGCGGACCUCAUAAAGUGCGUCGUAGUCCGGAUUGGAGUCUGCAACUCGACUCCAUGAAGUCGGAAUCGCUAGUAAUCGUGGAUCAGAAUGCCACGGUGAAUACGUUCCCGGGCCUUGUACACACCGCCCGUCACACCAUGGGAGUGGGUUGCAAAAGAAGUAGGUAGCUUAACCUUCGGGAGGGCGCUUACCACUUUGUGAUUCAUGACUGGGGUGAAGUCGUAACAAGGUAACCGUAGGGGAACCUGCGGUUGGAUCACCUCCUUACCUUAAAGAAGC
RNAcentral lists this ribosomal RNA (1440 nucleotides) under Escherichia coli. RNAcentral's name for it is "bacterial SSU rRNA". It matches the Rfam family "Bacterial small subunit ribosomal RNA". Lineage: Bacteria; Pseudomonadati; Pseudomonadota; Gammaproteobacteria; Enterobacterales; Enterobacteriaceae. The record is from RNAcentral. RNAcentral also lists the same sequence under 1 other name.